AUGCAAGUCGAACGAGAAAGUUUCCUUCGGGAAACGAGUAAAGUGGCGAACGGGUGAGUAAUGCAUGGAUGACCUACCCACAUGACGGGGAUAACUAUUCGAAAGGAUAGCUAAUACCGGAUGUGAUCUCGGUUUUGCGGAACCGAGAAGAAAGAUGGCCUCUGUUUCAAGCUGUCGCAUGUGGAGGGGUUCAUGUGCUAUUAGUUUGUUGGUGGGGUAACGGCCUACCAAGGCGAUGAUGGCUAGCCGGCCUGAGAGGGUGUCCGGCCACACUGGGACUGAGACACUGCCCAGACUCCUACGGGAGGCUGCAGUCGAGAAUCUUCCACCAAUGCGCGAAAGCGUGAUGGAGCGACGUCGCGUGGGGGACGAAGGCCUUCGGGUUGUAAACUCCUGUCACGUGGACCUAAAACCGCAGGGUUAAUACCUCUUGCGCUUGAAGUUCCAUGAGAGGAAGCACCGGCUAAAUUCGUGC
Molecule: ribosomal RNA, 475 nt
Filed under: uncultured bacterium
Lineage: Bacteria
Description: bacterial SSU rRNA
Rfam family: Bacterial small subunit ribosomal RNA
Source: RNAcentral